CAAUAGCGUAUAUUAAAGUUGUUGCAGUUAAAAAGCUCGUAGUUGGAUUUGUGGUGUGUCCAGUUGGCCUUUGCUCUUUGAGUGAUAGUGCUUUACUGGUCUGCCAUGUUUGGGUGGAAUCUGUGUGGCAUUAAGUUGUCGUGCAGGGGAUGCCCAUCGUUUACUGUGAAAAAAUUAGAGUGUUCAAAGCAGGCUUAUGCCUCUGAAUAUAUUAGCAUGGAAUAAUGAUAUAGGACCUUGGUACUAUUUUGUUGGUUUGCGCACUGAGGUAAUGAUUAAGAGGGACAGUUGGGGGUAUUUGUAUUCCAUUGUCAGAGGUGAAAUUCUUGGAUUUUUGGAAGACAAACUACUGCGAAAGCAUUUACCAAGGAUGUUUUCAUUAAUCAAGAACGAAAGUUAGGGGAUCGAAGAUGAUUAGAU
This 420-nucleotide ribosomal RNA is filed under the name Fragilariopsis cylindrus. Its description in RNAcentral is "SSU rRNA". It matches the Rfam family "Eukaryotic small subunit ribosomal RNA", at positions 592 to 1013 of the family's 1831-position model. The record is from RNAcentral. Lineage: Eukaryota; Bacillariophyta; Bacillariophyceae; Bacillariales; Bacillariaceae.